UACAGAGGGUGCAAGCGUUAAUCGGAAUUACUGGGCGUAAAGCGUGCGUAGUCGGUUAUUUAAGUCGGGUGUGAAAUCCCCGGGCUCAACCUGGGAAUUGCAUUCGAUACUGGAUAGCUAGAGUUCGGCAGAGGGAAGCGGAAUUUCCGGUGUAGCGGUGAAAUGCGCAGAUAUCAGGAAGAACACCAAUGGCGAAAGCAGCUUUCUGGGACGGUACUGACGCUGAGACGCGAAAGCGUGGGGAGCGAACAGG
This 253-nucleotide ribosomal RNA is filed under the name uncultured bacterium. Its description in RNAcentral is "partial 16S ribosomal RNA". It matches the Rfam family "Bacterial small subunit ribosomal RNA", at positions 524 to 776 of the family's 1533-position model. The record is from RNAcentral.